AACGUAGGACGCAAGCGUUAUCCGGAGUUACUGGGCGUAAAGGGCAGGCAGGCGGGUCGAUAAGUCGGAUGUGAAAUCUCCCUGGCUUAACCGGGAGAGUGCAUUUGAGACUGUCAAUCUGGAGGGCAGCAGAGGAGCGUGGAAUUCCGGGUGGAGUGGUGAAAUGCGUAGAGAUCCGGAGGAACACCAGAGGCGAAAGCGGCGCUCUGGGCUGCACCUGACGCUGAACUGCGAAAGCCAGGGGAGCGAACGGG
This 254-nucleotide ribosomal RNA is filed under the name uncultured bacterium. RNAcentral describes it as "partial 16S ribosomal RNA". It matches the Rfam family "Bacterial small subunit ribosomal RNA", at positions 524 to 776 of the family's 1533-position model. The record is from RNAcentral.